UUGUAAUUUCAAAUUCCUCCACUUUUGGUCCCUCAUUUUACGUGUCAUGUAUGCAGAUUCUGCUGACGUGGUGGAAUAAGGGACCAAAAGUGGAAGAAUUUGAAAUUACAG
Medicago truncatula (barrel medic) is the source of this 111-nucleotide microRNA precursor. It matches the Rfam family "MIR5284 microRNA precursor family". NCBI's taxonomy places the organism in Eukaryota, Viridiplantae, Streptophyta, Magnoliopsida, Fabales, Fabaceae. The record is from Rfam.